RNAcentral lists this ribosomal RNA (394 nucleotides) under uncultured bacterium. RNAcentral describes it as "bacterial SSU rRNA". It matches the Rfam family "Bacterial small subunit ribosomal RNA", at positions 28 to 412 of the family's 1533-position model. The record is from RNAcentral.
GAUAGACGCUGGCGGCGUGCUUAACACAUUCAAGUCGAACGGAGUAUGUUUGGAAGCUUGCUUUUGGCAUACUUAGUGGCGGACGGGUGAGUAAUGCAUGAGCAACCUGCCUUCAAGAGGGGGAUAACACAUGGAAACGUGUGCUAAUACCGCAUAGACGUACGGACGGCAUCGUUUGUACGGGAAAGGAGUAAUCCGCUUGAAGAUGGGCUCAUGUCCGAUUAGGUUGUUGGUGAGGUAACGGCCCACCAAGCCUGCGAUCGGUAGCCGGACUGAGAGGUUGAACGGCCACAUUGGGAACUGAGAUACGGGUCCAGACUCCUACGGGAGCAGCAGUGGGGAAUAUUGGGCAAUGGGCGAAAGCCUGACCCAGCGACGCCGCGUGAGGGAAGAA